Molecule: ribosomal RNA, 253 nt
Filed under: uncultured bacterium
Lineage: Bacteria
Description: partial 16S ribosomal RNA
Rfam family: Bacterial small subunit ribosomal RNA
Source: RNAcentral
UACGGAGGUGGCAAGCGUUGCUCGGAAUCACUGGGCGUAAAGGGCGCGUAGGCGGGGAGGUAAGUCGGGUGUGAAAUCCCUCGGCCCAACCGAGGAACUGCGCCCGAGACUGCUUCUCUUGAGUCCCGGAGAGGAAGAUGGAAUUCCCGGUGUAGCGGUGAAAUGUGUAGAGAUCGGGAGGAACACCCGUGGCGAAGGCGGCCUGCUGGGCCGAUCCUGACGCUGAGGCGCGAAGGCGUGGGGAGCGAACGGG